This is a non-coding RNA of Cricetulus griseus (Chinese hamster), 316 nucleotides long. The record is from Rfam. Lineage: Eukaryota; Metazoa; Chordata; Mammalia; Rodentia; Cricetidae.
GCAUUGUGAGGAUGUGACUAUACCAACUGUGACAUCUUGUUCACUAGGAUGGAUUUACUUAAUUUGUUUGUCUAGGCAGAUGUUCCCUUCUUCUCUCAUCACUGCAGGUGUGGCCCUCCUGUAACAUGUUCAGUUGAAGGCUCUGACCUUCCAGGACAGAGGACGGCCAUUUCUUAGUUCAAGGGUAAGAGUAUCUGAGCUCCCUACUAGAACCUCCAAACAUGCUCUCAAAAGUAUUGUAGACCAGGUGGUGGUGGUGCAUGCCUUUAAUCAGAGGCAGAGGCAGGUGGAUCACGGAGUUCCAGGCCAUCCUGCU